Molecule: ribosomal RNA, 499 nt
Filed under: uncultured bacterium
Lineage: Bacteria
Description: partial 16S ribosomal RNA
Rfam family: Bacterial small subunit ribosomal RNA
Source: RNAcentral
AUUGAACGCUGGCGGAAUGCUUUACACAUGCAAGUCGAACGGCAGCACGGACUUCGGUCUGGUGGCGAGUGGCGAACGGGUGAGUAAUACAUCGGAACGUGCCCAGUCGUGGGGGAUGACGUAGCGAAAGCUACGCUAAUACCGCAUACGAUCUAAGGAUGAAAGCGGGGGAUCGAAAGACCUCGCGCGAUUACAGCGGCCGAUGCCUGAUUAGCUUGUUGGUGGGGUAAAAGCCCACCAAGGCGACGAUCAGUAGCUGGUCUGAGAGGACGAUCAGCCACACUGGGACUGAGACACGGCCCAGACUCCUACGGGAGGCAGCAGUGGGGAGUUUUGGACAAUGGGGGCAACCCUGAUCCAGCAAUGCCGCGUGAGUGAAGAAGGCCUUCGGGUUGUAAAGCUCUUUUGUCAGGGAAGAAACACCGGCUCUAACACAGUCCGGGAAUGACGGUACCUGAAGAAUAAGCACCGGCUAACUACGUGCCAGCAGCCGCGGUAA